AGUGAACGCUGGCGGUAGGCCUAACACAUGCAAGUCGAACGGCAGCACAGUAAGAGCUUGCUCUUACGGGUGGCGAGUGGCGGACGGGUGAGGAAUACAUCGGAAUCUACUUUUUCGUGGGGGAUAACGUAGGGAAACUUACGCUAAUACCGCAUACGACCUACGGGUGAAAGCAGGGGAUCUUCGGACCUUGCGCGAUUGAAUGAGCCGAUGUCGGAUUAGCUCGUUGGCGGGGUAAAGGCCCACCAAGGCGACGAUCCGUAGCUGGUCCGAGAGGAUGGACAGCCACACUGGAACUGAGACACGGCCCAGACUCCUACGGGAGGCAGCAGUGGGGAAUAUUGGACAAUGGGCGCGAGCCUGAUCCAGCCAUACCGCGUGGGUGAAGAAGGCCUUCGGGUUGUAAAGCCAUUUUGUUGGGAAAGAAAAGCAGCAGGUUAAUACCCCGCUGUUCUGACGGUACCCAAAGAAUAAGCACCGGCUAACUUCGUG
Molecule: ribosomal RNA, 492 nt
Filed under: uncultured bacterium
Lineage: Bacteria
Description: partial 16S ribosomal RNA
Rfam family: Bacterial small subunit ribosomal RNA
Source: RNAcentral